AGACCAAUUAUGUCUUCACUACAACAAAGAAGCCGUAAUAUGUAGCCCCCGUAUCCUGUGAGUCCUACUUACAACUGCUCUCCAAAUAAACCCUAUUAUUACAUACAAAACAAUCCUGAUUUCUGAUUGGCUGAAAACAGACAUGUGACAUACAAAGAAUUUUCUAUUAUUUACUUCAUAUGACAAGAGCACUGAGGAGCUGCACCAUAAACCAAGCAACAGUAUCAUUAAGUACUUUACUUGUCAGUGAUAUGAAUUCAAUGCAUGUUUCUCUUUUCAUCAAUUGAACUAACUUUCAAGCUUCAGAUUACUACUGAAUUGUUUUACUGUACUUUGAGGUUCAUUUCCCCUUGAAAAUAGAUCACAGUGUUAGCAUUUCCUUUGCAGGGAGAGGGCUGGGAAGGUGAUUAGACCUAUGAUCACAGACACAUUUCGUUAAAAAUGUAUGUGGUAAUAAUGAAAUUCAACUGCACCAAUAUGCGAAUUUAAGGCAGAAUAAAAGAAAAACCACGCCUAGACACACUGUAGUGAAAUUGUAGAUCAAAGACAAAGAGAAGUUCUUGAAAGCAGCCAGAGAGAAAGGACAGAUCACCUACAAAGGAAUGACAGACAAUUAGAA
Molecule: non-coding RNA, 619 nt
Organism: Microcebus murinus (gray mouse lemur)
Lineage: Eukaryota; Metazoa; Chordata; Mammalia; Primates; Cheirogaleidae
Source: RefSeq, a predicted model, not a curated record